UCCCAAGUGAGUGUCUGGUAUAGGGAA
This 27-nucleotide non-coding RNA is filed under the name Rattus norvegicus (Norway rat). The record is from RNAcentral. Lineage: Eukaryota; Metazoa; Chordata; Mammalia; Rodentia; Muridae.